GUGCUUGCCUCAGCAGCACGCAUACUAAAAUUGGAACAAUAUAGAGAUUAACAUGGCCCCCAUCCAAGGAUGACACACAAAUUUAUGAAGUGUUCCACAUUAAA
RNAcentral lists this small nuclear RNA (104 nucleotides) under Carlito syrichta (Philippine tarsier). The record is from RNAcentral. Lineage: Eukaryota; Metazoa; Chordata; Mammalia; Primates; Tarsiidae.